GAUGAAGAACGUAGCAAAAUGCGAUAAGUAAUGUGAAUUGCAGAAUUCAGUGAAUCAUCGAAUCUUUGAACGCACAUUGCGCCCGCUGGUAUUCCGGCGGGCAUGCCUGUUCGAGCGUCAUUUCAACCCUCAAGCCCCAGGCUUGCGUUGGAGCCCUGCGGCUGCCGCAGCCUCCUAAAAGCAGUGGCGGGCUCGCUAUCACACCGAGUGCAGUAGAUUACUCUUCGCUCAGGGCGUGCAGCGGGUUCCGGCCGUGAAACCCCCUACUUUUAAAGGUUGACCUCGGAUCAGGUAGGAAUACCCGCUGAACUUAAGCAUAUCAAUAAGCGGAGGA
Molecule: unclassified non-coding RNA, 334 nt
Filed under: soil metagenome
Description: partial contains 5.8S ribosomal RNA, internal transcribed spacer 2, and large subunit ribosomal RNA
Rfam family: 5.8S ribosomal RNA (bases 1-120)
Source: RNAcentral